GCUGGGUGUGGUGGUGCACGCCUGUAGUCCCAGCUACUUGGGAGUCUGAGGCAGGAGGAUCGCUCGAGGCCAGGAGUUUGAGGCUACAGUGAGCUAGGAUUGUGCCACUGCACUCCAGCCUGGGCGACAGAGUGAGAUCCUGUCUCAA
RNAcentral lists this signal recognition particle RNA (148 nucleotides) under Nomascus leucogenys (northern white-cheeked gibbon). RNAcentral describes it as "Metazoan signal recognition particle RNA". It matches the Rfam family "Metazoan signal recognition particle RNA". Rfam says of the family: The signal recognition particle (SRP) is a universally conserved ribonucleoprotein. It is involved in the co-translational targeting of proteins to membranes. The eukaryotic SRP consists of a 300-nucleotide 7S RNA and six proteins: SRPs 72, 68, 54, 19, 14, and 9. The record is from Rfam by way of RNAcentral. Lineage: Eukaryota; Metazoa; Chordata; Mammalia; Primates; Hylobatidae.